AGCGAACGCUGGCGGCAGGCUUAACACAUGCAAGUCGAGCGGGCACUUUCGGGUGUCAGCGGCGGACGGGUGAGUAACGCGUGGGAACGUGCCCUCUGGUUCGGAAUAACUCAGGGAAACUUGAGCUAAUACCGGAUACGCCCUUUUGGGGAAAGGCUUGCUGCCGGAGGAUCGGCCCGCGGCUGAUUAGCUAGUUGGUGAGGUAACGGCUCACCAAGGCGACGAUCAGUAGCUGGUAUGAGAGGAUGAUCAGCCACACUGGGACUGAGACACGGCCCAGACUCCGGCGGGAGGCAGCAGUGGGGAAUAUUGGACAAUGGGCGCAAGCCGGAUCCAGCCAUGCCGCGUGAGUGAUCAAGGCCUUAGGGUUGUAAAGCUCUUUUAUCCGGGACGAUAAGGACGGUACCGGAGGAAUAAGCCCCGGCUAACUUCGU
This 434-nucleotide ribosomal RNA is filed under the name uncultured bacterium. RNAcentral's name for it is "partial 16S ribosomal RNA". It matches the Rfam family "Bacterial small subunit ribosomal RNA", at positions 29 to 506 of the family's 1533-position model. The record is from RNAcentral.